GCGCAUCGGCGCUGACCGUUCCUGGUGGCUCAGGGAAGCGGACACCUGGGCGCGGGAGCGGGGGAAAUAAUCCAAACGCGGGCUCGGCCGGCCUGGGCCUUGAUCAUCCGAGCCGCAUUUCUCACCCAGACCCGCGCCAGGCAGAAGCGCCGUCCGUCCCCGCCGCGGCGGCACGGACCCUGAAGCUUGAGUUCUGAAAACCCGCCCCUGACGCCGCCUGUGGUUCAGAGCUUAGCUUCUCGUCGCUUUCGCUAAACCUGGCACAGGCCUGGAACGUGCUGCGUUAUGAAAGCGGCUAUUCUCCACCUCCUGAAAACCCCGACUGCGUUAGUGUUCUGAACAUAACCUGUGUUUGAGCUCCAGCACCUACCCAGGUCUCAGUUAAGACAGUAUUUUGUCCCAACAAGGAGAGAAAAGUAACCGAGGCAAACAGGUGACGGAGAGAAGGAACAGCUCUAAUAUCUUCCAGCACCACACAUCAUGUGCUCUGACAAGUUUAAAAACUCAGAAGAUCAGACUGGCAUUUCCUGUUUUUACCCUGCAUGAUGUUUAUUUGGGCUGUCGUCAGGUGGAUGAGGAGCUCCAAUUUCAACCCAUAGUAAAGGAAUUUGGCCUUCUGUUGUAUAGAGGGUUGGUAAAGUAUUCUCAGAAUGUUUUAAAAAUAAAGUGGUGCUCGG
Molecule: long non-coding RNA, 677 nt
Filed under: Chinchilla lanigera (long-tailed chinchilla)
Lineage: Eukaryota; Metazoa; Chordata; Mammalia; Rodentia; Chinchillidae
Description: lncRNA (ENSCLAG00000026541.1)
Source: RNAcentral